Non-coding RNA from Pelobates cultripes (western spadefoot toad), 275 nucleotides. The record is from the annotation of a GenBank genome assembly. NCBI's taxonomy places the organism in Eukaryota, Metazoa, Chordata, Amphibia, Anura, Pelobatidae.
GGGAAAUUUGUCUAUAAUAAAAAUAAAUCUGUCUGUACAAAAUAUAACAAAGCUACAUGAAUUUUUACAAAUAGGUACUUUAUAAUACCAUCUCUACGGGAUGUGUGGUAAUCAUAUACCAUGAAGUGCAUAACGUUGUGUCUUUCUGCAUUAAAUGUCAUCUGCCAUUUGAGUGCCCAAUCCCUCAAUCUAGCUAAAUCCCUCAGCAGCGAGGUAAUAUCCUGCUCAUAUUGUAUUACUUUACAGAGUUGUGUGUCACCUGCAAACACUGAAAA